CAGAAGAAGGCGGGACCUCCAGCUAGUGGGGCGGACGGCUCUCGUCAGGAGGGGUACUGCCGCUCGUUCAACGUCUGUGCCAGCCCCAACUGUUUGCCCUCGCCUGUACCUGAGGGCCUGAUGUAGCGGAUUGUCAUCCCCUCUGCAAUGAAGGAAAUCUGCUCCAGCAUCCUGAUCAUGGACUGAAGAUCCACGUUAAUAGAGCUGGAUGAGUCCUGCGUGACCUGAUGUAUCCACAUAUCUGUUUAGCAUACUCUGCUAAAUGGCUGAAAGCUUGGCUGCCCCUUCAGGGCACUGCUAACGCAGCCAUUCAUGUCUCACUCUGACGGUCAGACCACCACGAUGACGCUGCCCUCCUCCUCCUCCUCCUCCUCCUCCUCCUCCUCCUCCUCUUCCCGUUACACUCACAUUGAGCCUUCCCCGUUAGAGCUUAGAUUUGAGUCUUUGAACAAGUGAAGUGUGUUUGUGUCUCUGAAUGUGAUUUUAUAGCCAGUGCCAACAAACAGAACUUUGUGUUUUUUUUAAAGAUGGUGCUGCCUUUGCCUCUGCCUCUGCCUCUGCCUUUGCCUCAUUUUUGGGAUAAGCUUCAUAAAAUACUUAAGCAUCAGAUGUGGCAGAGAUGCACUUAUCCCAGAUCAGAUCCUGAGAUUAACACAGCUUGCUACAUUCUGGCAAAGCUGUAACAGAGAUUAAUUGGCUGUGUUUACAGAAAGCAUCCAUUUCUCACGACAAAGCUGCAGACAGCGGGUUAAUGAGAUGUCGUGAAGUAUUAUGUAAGUUAUUUAUUGUGAUAAGAUACAGUUACACUGUACUGACAUCAGUUGUAAGGAAACAAAGACAAAAACAUAUUUUAGGAGAGAAGAUACUAAAUGUUGUAGUUAAAUAUGUCUGGACUUUACGUCUCCUGUAGACAGGCUGCAGUAUUGAUUCAUUAUUAUAAUUACUUACUUAGACAAUGUAUGCUGUUAGUCCAGUGUCCAACAGGCUAUACAUAAUUUAGCAUUCGGCUGUAACAUCAAUCUUUAAAUGAAACAACUUAACACUCUGCCAGAUUUCUUGCAAAAUGUAUGCCAUGCAAAUGUUGCAUCCCUCCGCAUUCCUGAAUAGUAGUAAGUAGUAAAGAGGACGAAUAAAUACAAUUUGAUGUUU
Molecule: long non-coding RNA, 1149 nt
Organism: Notolabrus celidotus (New Zealand spotty)
Lineage: Eukaryota; Metazoa; Chordata; Actinopteri; Labriformes; Labridae
Exons: 3
Source: RefSeq, a predicted model, not a curated record